This 498-nucleotide ribosomal RNA is filed under the name uncultured bacterium. Its description in RNAcentral is "partial 16S ribosomal RNA". It matches the Rfam family "Bacterial small subunit ribosomal RNA", at positions 28 to 523 of the family's 1533-position model. The record is from RNAcentral.
GAUGAACGCUAGCUACAGGCUUAACACAUGCAAGUCGAGGGGUAGCAGGGUAGCAAUACCGCUGACGACCGGCGCACGGGUGAGUCACACGUAUCCAACCUUCGCAUAACUCGGGGAGAGCCUUUCGAAAGAAAGAUUAAUACCCGAUAGUACUUUAUUAAGGCAUCUUAAGAAAGUUAAAUAUUUAUUGGUUAUGGAUGGGGAUGCGUUCCAUUAGAUAGUUGGUGAGGUAACGGCUCACCAAGUCUUCGAUGGAUAGGGGUUCUGAGAGGAAGGUCCCCCACAUUGGUACUGAGACACGGACCAAACUCCUACGGGAGGCAGCAGUGAGGAAUAUUGGUCAAUGGGCGAGAGCCUGAACCAGCCAAGUAGCGUGAAGGAUGAAGGUCCUAUGGAUUGUAAACUUCUUUUAUAGUAGAAUAAAGUGAACCACGUGUGGUUUUUUGUAUGUAUACUAUGAAUAAGGAUCGGCUAACUCCGUGCCAGCCGCCGCGGUAA